GGACUACCGGGGUUUCUAAUCCUGUUUGCUCCCCACGCUUUCGCACCUAAGUGUCAGUAUUGGUCCAGAUAGCCGCUUUCGCCACUGGUGUUCCUUCCGAUAUCUACGCAUUUCACCGCUACACCGGAAAUUCCACUAUCCUCUACCAUACUCUAGACAUCCAGUAUCGGAAGCAAUUCCCAGGUUAAGCCCAGGGCUUUCACUUCCGACUUAAAUACCCACCUACGUGCGCUUUACGCCCAGUAAUUCCGAUUAACGCUUGCACCCUCUGUAUUACCGCGGCUGCUGGCAC
This 292-nucleotide ribosomal RNA is filed under the name uncultured bacterium. Its description in RNAcentral is "partial 16S ribosomal RNA". The record is from RNAcentral.